Vicia villosa (hairy vetch) is the source of this 1430-nucleotide long non-coding RNA. RefSeq lists it as uncharacterized. The record is from RefSeq and is a predicted model, not a curated record. The transcript has 2 exons. NCBI's taxonomy places the organism in Eukaryota, Viridiplantae, Streptophyta, Magnoliopsida, Fabales, Fabaceae.
UUUUUGAUUCGUGUUUUCCCCCUUUUUUGACUUUGCGAUUUUAGGGUAAUUUGAAUUUCAAGUUGUCGUGAUUUCUUGGUUCUUGGAUGAUUUUUGUGUGGGGGUUGUUUAAUUUUGCGAUUUGCUAACUAGCGAUUUGGUUUUUUGUUUUCUUGAAUUUUGACCUGGUGAAGGUGUUUGUUUCUAGAUUCACGGCUGAGAUUUAGGAUUUCUGUCCUCUGAAUUUGGAAAAUUGUCUAGCUGCAAGGGAUUUUCAAGAUUCUUACUGUGUUCUGUGUGAUGUAUUGUCUGUUAGAGUGUUUGUCAAGUUUUGUAUGGCUUCUGCUGACAAUUUAAGCACUGUAUGGGCGGGUUUUGUUCAUGUUCAAAUUGAUAUAUGCUAUUUUGUGGGUGUUUCUUGGUUACUUGAAAUAUAAGUUCUUUCUAAGUAUUGCUUGGUACAAAAAAGUUUGUUGCUCAUAUAGGAAUGCAAUUUUGAGUAUAGAAAUUUUGCUUAAAUGUACAUUUGGGUACUGUGCAUUUGGGCUUGUUUGUUCCUGAUCUAGGUGUUUUAUCCUUGAUCAUUUUUUCACUUGGACUAGGAAACUUGUUGAAGUAUGACUUUUGUGCAUUUCGUAGCUCUGAGAUUUACCAGGGGAUGAUAAUAAUUUCUCAGUAUUGUUGUCUUGCUGUGUUUAUUUGUUUGUUCUAGGGAUAAUCCUAAUAUGUGAAGAAAUUUCCAUAUAAUCUCCUUUUUGACAAUGAUAGAUGGGUAUACAAUAUUUGUUUUCUAAAAGAUAAGAAAUCACAGGUUAAUUGUGACUAAAGACAUAAUUCUACAUUUUCUUGGAUGUCAUUUCAUAAACAUUUAUUUUAGGAGUUAAGACUAAAGACAUAAUGAUUAUCAUGAUAUUUGUUUUCUUGUAUCAAAAUCAGUUGCUACUUCUUAGCAAUCCCUCUUCCCUAAAGAGGUGACAAAAGUUGCAAAUUCAGUAAGGUAGAUUAUGACAUUUCAUGUUUGGGUCCUAUUUUCAAUAAAAUUUCAUACUAUUAUGAAAUUCUAUAAGCCCUAUGAUAGAUAGUGAGCAUAUUAUGAUUUUAGUUGAUUUUAUAUUUUUGCAUAAUUUGUUCGAUUAUAAAUAUUUGUUGUUUAUGUUACAGUAAAUGAUGUUUAACUUCAUGAUUGUGAGUAAGUUUGUCAGGUGUUCAGAUUGCUCUAAGACAGUGAUCCAACAAUUACAUUUUUGUUCAGCAUCUAUAUCAAGAUAUUAAAUUUUCAAAUCUUUUGACAGAUCAUCUCCAUUGAUUCGUUCCUUUAGAACAUGAUCCACAUGGUUUAUUGAACCCAGUUAAUAAGUCAUGCCCAUGUAUAAGUCAGUCACUAGGGGGGAAAUAAACCUUGUCUCUUACCAUGUAAAUGUGAAAUAAUGAUCAUAUUAUAUUCUAUCAAA